This 19-nucleotide non-coding RNA is filed under the name Sarcophilus harrisii (Tasmanian devil). Its record names the gene sha-miR-133a. RNAcentral also lists the same sequence under 2 other names. The record is from miRBase by way of RNAcentral. Lineage: Eukaryota; Metazoa; Chordata; Mammalia; Dasyuromorphia; Dasyuridae.
UUUGGUCCCCUUCAACCAG